Molecule: long non-coding RNA, 287 nt
Organism: Perca fluviatilis (European perch)
Lineage: Eukaryota; Metazoa; Chordata; Actinopteri; Perciformes; Percidae
Exons: 3
Source: RefSeq, a predicted model, not a curated record
ACUCGACUCAAUUAUCAUUAAAUGCUCCUGUGUAAGUCAUCAAAGUCUCCAGAAUCUUCUUCACAUACAGGAUGUUAUAUGAGCUCCUUAACAAGGGAGUGAAAUGUGAUCAUGCAGCAGCACGGGAGAGGAGAGUGUAUCUGACAGAAGAGCUGCAUCAUCUAUAGUGAGGCAUGCGACGUGCACCACGGCGGGAUUGGACACGCGAGGGUCCGGGAGUGGCAAUGCGCGAUGUGCUCCUGGUGGAGCGGGUGAACGGAGAUGGAGUGGGGGUAGAAGGAAGGGGC